UCUCUUUCUAUCUUUCUCCAACAGUCCCAGCACCAGCCAGGGCCAGGGCCCUCACCGCCCCACACGCAGUGUGUGUGUCAGUAGGCGCACAUGUGUGUGUAAAAUAGAGAGAAAAAUGGAGAGGGAAAAGACGGAGAGAGGGAUUCUUUGUGUGUGGUUCAGCCGGAGGGGUGUUUGCAGCGUCCAACACCACUUGAUAAAACUUUGUCAGAGAGACACGGAGACAGCGAGGGAGGGGGGGAAGCGGAAGAAGAAUAAGACGGGACGUCGAAGGUCGCUUUUCUUCCAGCUCCUGCCGUCUUAUUACUCAUUCCACCUCAACUGUUUGAUAAGGAUCCAUCAGAGACGGCACACAGGACGUUUCUGCUCAGUCCCACUACCAAGCACGUAGCUCACAACAUUCCUAAGAUCUCAUGAGCCAGGAUAAAAGGACAAUUUGAACUUUUUCUCUCAUCCACCGUAUCAGACACAACCUGUCUUUUCGCCUUAGAUUUUCUUACCCUCACUACAGCAGCUCCCAUCAGAGGAUAUGGCAGUGCAGUAUUGAUCUAUAAGGUGGAAGAGAGGAAGGCGGGCUCAGGCUUUCAUACCUCUCUCUCUCCCUCUCUAUGUGUGUGUGUGUGUGUGUGUGGAAAUAGCACCUGAAGUCCACUUACUGCUGUGCAGCAGGGAUCCCAUGGCAGCACAAGUGAAUGGCUGCUAAUUGAAUGAGAGAUGAAAAGGACAGUAGUUGUACCUGCUCAGUGCCCCCCUCCUACUGUCUCAUACUACGUGGUUUUUCAUCUGACUUUUUUUCUCCUCCACGCUUUCAAAAGUCCUUGUCCACACAAAGAAACUCGAGACGUUUUAGCAAAAUUGGUGGUGACUAAAGAAAAUUGGCAAAACCUUCUGGCUUCAGCCUUCAAUAGAAAAGAUUUGUUUCAUGCAGAGGCAGAAACAUCCGGACAUUUGUGGACUUGGAAGGACAAUACAGGACAGAUGAACAGUAUUGCCAGCAUAAAAAGAUUCCAACAGGAUGCAUACUUAUCGAUGCAGCCAGUCAGGAAUGCCACCAUGGAGAUGAAAAACAGCGAUUAGACGGUUGGACCUUACUCUAGAAAGAGAACACAUGCUGUCUGUAGCUGAAUCCUCUGAACAAGUUUAGCAUCGUGGCCACAUAUGGAGAAUGCCACCUCUACACCUGCACGAACAAUCAGUUAGACACACAUCAUUAGAGUCUGAUUAUCAGUGUUCUGGUCUGCCGUCUUUGUGGAUGUGGACAGGUAAGUCGGAGCCGCUUCUAAAAGGUAAGUUUAAAAGGUUGAAUCAAUUUAAGAGCUGUCUGAAGUGUAAAAUGGAGCUGCCAAGCAAUAUUUUCCAAAAUUAGUUUCAUUAGAUAUGAAUUACUAUAUUUGAGACCAAUUUUAGGUCGGAGAUUGGAUGAGACCCCAAGGGGUCCUUCUUUUCACUCAGUAAUUUACAUUCAAGUGUUUGACUGGAAAAUUGUUUGACAAGAGUUUGCUGCCGUUGAAUUACUUUCCUCUUUUCUGUGGGACAUUAUGUACACAUACGUAUUUAUACAAUCUUUUCAUAGAGUAAUGAACUGAUUUAUUAUAAAAUGAUUGCAGAAUCCCAGCAGUGUGCUCUGAUAUGAUAUAUAUUUUCAAUAAAGAUGAACAAUUUCUGAAAUGAA
Molecule: long non-coding RNA, 1672 nt
Organism: Centropristis striata (black sea bass)
Lineage: Eukaryota; Metazoa; Chordata; Actinopteri; Perciformes; Serranidae
Exons: 2
Source: RefSeq, a predicted model, not a curated record